Long non-coding RNA from Lemur catta (Ring-tailed lemur), 501 nucleotides. RefSeq lists it as uncharacterized. The transcript has 3 exons. Lineage: Eukaryota; Metazoa; Chordata; Mammalia; Primates; Lemuridae. The record is from RefSeq and is a predicted model, not a curated record.
CGGGCCAAUACGCUCCUCAUCCACAGUACGCUGUGCCUUGGGUUUCUCUCCCGCAUCUGCGUUUUGCAGGGUUGUGCUGCUGCUGGGGACAGUGAAUGUCCUGGGAAAUAACGGACGUUGAUGUCCCCUCCGCCUCUCGAGCCCGUCUGGCUAACGCACGUUCGCCGGCAAGGAUUUUUAAGCACAAAUCCAGCCUGCUUUCUGGAUGACACUUCUGCUACAGCUUCUGAAUUUCCUGAGUAGCACCAAAUAUUCUUCAGUUGUGCCUCUGGCUCAUCAUCAGCUUCAGAGAAUCAACUUGCAGCACCCUGGAGCACCUGACUAUGUAAUAAAGAAGACUUUUGAUGCAUGCUAAGAAAACAGAGAUUUUUUUUCUCUCAGGAUCUUCAGUUUCCCAAAGGACAGAAAAUUCCAUUACUCUUCGAAUCAUGAUGGUAUUAAAUGGCAACAUCUGGUCUAGCAUUCAGGGCAGAAACUGGAGCUCAGAAGAGCUUCAAAAGA